RNAcentral lists this ribosomal RNA (252 nucleotides) under uncultured bacterium. Its description in RNAcentral is "partial 16S ribosomal RNA". It matches the Rfam family "Bacterial small subunit ribosomal RNA", at positions 524 to 776 of the family's 1533-position model. The record is from RNAcentral.
UACGUAGGUCCCGAGCGUUGUCCGGAUUUAUUGGGCGUAAAGCGAGGGCAGGUGGUUUAUUAAGUCUGGUGUAAAAGGCAGUGGCUCAACCAUUGUAUGCAUUGGAAACUGGUAGACUUGAGUGCAGGAGAGGAGAGUGGAAUUCCAUGUGUAGCGGUGAAAUGCGUAGAUAUAUGGAGGAACACCGGUGGCGAAAGCGGCUCUCUGGCCUGUAACUGACACUGAGGCUCGAAAGCGUGGGGAGCAAACAGG